This 488-nucleotide ribosomal RNA is filed under the name uncultured bacterium. RNAcentral's name for it is "partial 16S ribosomal RNA". It matches the Rfam family "Bacterial small subunit ribosomal RNA", at positions 28 to 507 of the family's 1533-position model. The record is from RNAcentral.
GACGAACGCUGGCGGCGUGCUUAACACAUGCAAGUCGAACGCGCCUGUCCUCUGGGUUUCUGGGGGGUGGGUGAGUGGCGAACGGGUGAGUAACACGUGAGUAACCUGCCCCCUUCUUCGGGAUAACGGUCUGAAAGGGCUGCUAAUACCGGGUAUUCACUGGUCUCCGCAUGGGGUCUGGGGGAAAGGUUUUUUUCUGGUGGGGGAUGGGCUCGCGGCCUAUCAGCUUGUUGGUGGGGUGAUGGCCCACCAAGGCUUUGACGGGUAGCCGGCCUGAGAGGGUGACCGGUCACAUUGGGACUGAGAUACGGCCCAGACUCCUACGGGAGGCAGCAGUGGGGAAUAUUGCACAAUGGGCGCAAGCCUAAUGCAGCGACGCCGCGUGAGGGAUGGAGGCCUUCGGGUUGUGAACCUCUUUCGCCCGCGGUCAAGCCGCGACGUGGGUCGUGGUGGGGGUAGUGGGUAAAGAAGCGCCGGCUAACUACGUG